This is a long non-coding RNA of Esox lucius (northern pike), 901 nucleotides long. NCBI's taxonomy places the organism in Eukaryota, Metazoa, Chordata, Actinopteri, Esociformes, Esocidae. The record is from Ensembl.
GGGAGAGGAGGAAGACGUGGUGAAGGACGAGGUAGAAGAGGAGUAAGGGCAAGGAGACAAGUCUCGGAUGAAAUUCGAGCCACUUUAGUGGACCAUGUUCUUGUCCCUGAGGGAGGCUAGGCAACGAGUCCAGCCUAAUGUGAGUCGCUUCACCGUCACCUCCAUCAUCAGAACUUUCAGGGAGGAAAACAGGAUACAGAGACGACCAUCUGGUGGUGGGAGGCUAAGGCUUUUGUCAGAGGAGCAAGAGAGGGAGCUUGUAAACAUGGUCAUUGCCAAUAAUGUAAUCCGCCUGCGAGAGAUUCAAAGGAGAGUGAUUGAGGAUAAUCCAUCAGCCUUUCCACAAUUGAUCGCAUCCUCCGAAAGCAUCGGUUCCGGAUGAAACAGGUGUACAGGGUAAAAGAGUGGAAUAUGUUCAGAGAAUCUUUGAGUUUGAAGGCUGGCCUGUUCCACCUGAAAUUAUCUUUGUGGAUGAGGCUGGUUUCAACCUCACCAAAAGAAGGAGAUGUAGGAGGAAUAUAAUCGGCCAUCAGGCUAUUGUAAAUGUCCCUGGUCAGCGUGCAGGGAAUGUCACGAUGUGCGCAGCCAUCAGCCAACGAGGGGUCCUCCAUGCCAGUCUAGGACCCAUAAUACUAUGCUCCUUCUUGCAUUCCUUGACGGUCUAAGAGAGCAUAUGUUCCAGCUGGACCACAGGGAACCAGCACAACCAGAGCACCCUCACUAUGUUGUUGUUUGGGAUAACGUCAGUUUCCAUCGCGCUGCUCUGGUUCGUGACUGGUUUACCGAUAACCCAAUAUUUUCCAACCUCUUUCUGCCUGCAUACUCUCCAUUUCUUAACCCAAAAGAGGAGUUUUUUUCGGCAUGAUGGUGGAAAGUGUAUGACCGAGAAGCCUGCCUAGAC